Molecule: non-coding RNA, 351 nt
Organism: Vicia faba (fava bean)
Lineage: Eukaryota; Viridiplantae; Streptophyta; Magnoliopsida; Fabales; Fabaceae
Source: the annotation of a GenBank genome assembly
AUGGCGGUGUUGUUAUUGAUGUGGCUGACGCGACGAAGGGCAGAAUCAUGGUGGAUAUUUGUGGGAGGGACGGCCAGGUUCGGACUUUGGCGCAGUGUGCGGGAGGCACAGUUAAUGUCUAACGGUAGUUGCAUCAUGGAAGGGUGCUCGUCAUGGUGUGGUUGGGUGAUGCGCAUGGAGCUGAUUCACGGAAGGUGCAAAUGCAUGGUGUCGGAAGGGAGGUUGACGAAGAUGGAGGUGGCCACGAUUUUUGUGUUGUGCGGCGAUUUACCUAGAGAUGUCGGCUUGAAGGUGUCGAUGAGGUCCGACGCGAAUGCGAUGUCGUCAGAGGAAGCUUUAUUUAGCUUGUGA